CUCCAGAUGUUGCUGAACUACAACUCCCCUGAUUCUAUGAACUAGAUAGGCUGAGAAUCAUGGGAGUUGUAGUUCAGCAACAUCUGGAG
Molecule: non-coding RNA, 89 nt
Organism: Pelobates cultripes (western spadefoot toad)
Lineage: Eukaryota; Metazoa; Chordata; Amphibia; Anura; Pelobatidae
Source: the annotation of a GenBank genome assembly